GCGUCCGUAGCUCAGUGGAUAGAGCAAGCGGCUUCUACCCGCUUGGUCGGGGGUUCGAAUCCCUCCGGGCGUA
This 73-nucleotide transfer RNA is filed under the name Candidatus Chloroheliaceae bacterium. Its description in RNAcentral is "tRNA-Arg". It matches the Rfam family "tRNA". From Rfam's summary of the family: Transfer RNA (tRNA) molecules are approximately 80 nucleotides in length. Their secondary structure includes four short double-helical elements and three loops (D, anti-codon, and T loops). Lineage: Bacteria; Bacillati; Chloroflexota; Chloroflexia; Candidatus Chloroheliales; Candidatus Chloroheliaceae. The record is from RNAcentral.